UAGGGAAUCUUCGGCAAUGGGGGCAACCCUGACCGAGCAACGCCGCGUGAGUGAAGAAGGUUUUCGGAUCGUAAAGCUCUGUUGUAAGAGAAGAACGUGUGUGAGAGUGGAAAGUUCACACAGUGACGGUAACUUGCCAGAAAGGGACGGCUAACUACGUGCCAGCAGCCGCGGUAAUACGUAGGUCCCGAGCGUUGUCCGGAUUUAUUGGGCGUAAAGCGAGCGCAGGCGGUUUAAUAAGUCUGAAGUUAAAGGCAGUGGCUUAACCAUUGUUCGCUUUGGAAACUGUUAAACUUGAGUGCAGAAGGGGAGAGUGGAAUUCCAUGUGUAGCGGUGAAAUGCGUAGAUAUAUGGAGGAACACCGGUGGCGAAAGCGGCUCUCUGGUCUGUAACUGACGCUGAGGCUCGAAAGCGUGGGGAGCAAACAGG
Molecule: ribosomal RNA, 429 nt
Filed under: bacterium
Lineage: Bacteria
Description: partial 16S ribosomal RNA
Rfam family: Bacterial small subunit ribosomal RNA
Source: RNAcentral